GACGAACGCUGGCGGCGUGCUUAACACAUGCCAGUCGAACGGAAAGGCACUGCUUUUGUGGUGUGCUCGAGUGGCGAACGGGUGAGUAACACGUGAGUAACCUGCCCUUGUCUUUGGGAUAACUUCAGGAAACUGGGGCUAAUACCGGAUAGGAGCUGCUGCUGCAUGGUGGGGGUUGGAAAGUUUCUGCGGUUGUGGAUGGACUGGCGGCUAAUGAGCUUGUUGGUGGGGGAGUUGCUUACCAAGGAAUUGACGGGUAGGCGGCCUGGGAGGGGGAACGGCCACAUUGGGCCUACGGGACGGCCCAGUGUCCAACGGUAGGCAGUGGGGGGGAGUCUUGCACAAUGAGCGCGAGCGUGAUGCGGCAGCGCCGCGUGCGUGAUGACGGCCUUCGGGUUGAAAACCGCUUCCGCUUGUGACGAAGCGUUAGUGACGGUAAUGGGUAAAGAAGCACCGGCUAACUACGUG
RNAcentral lists this ribosomal RNA (468 nucleotides) under uncultured bacterium. RNAcentral's name for it is "partial 16S ribosomal RNA". It matches the Rfam family "Bacterial small subunit ribosomal RNA", at positions 28 to 507 of the family's 1533-position model. The record is from RNAcentral.